RNAcentral lists this ribosomal RNA (206 nucleotides) under uncultured bacterium. RNAcentral's name for it is "partial 16S ribosomal RNA". It matches the Rfam family "Bacterial small subunit ribosomal RNA", at positions 568 to 774 of the family's 1533-position model. The record is from RNAcentral.
UGCGCAGGCGGCCAAGUGUGUUAGGCGUGAAAGCCCGGGGCUUAACCCCGGAAUUGCACCUAAAACUACAUGGCUAGAGCAUUGGAGAGGGUAGCGGAAUUCACGGUGUAGCAGUGAAAUGCGUAGAUAUCGUGAGGAACACCAGAGGCGAAGGCGGCUACCUGGACAAUUGCUGACGCUCAGGCACGAAAGCGUGGGAGCAAAAG